This 1446-nucleotide ribosomal RNA is filed under the name metagenome. RNAcentral describes it as "bacterial SSU rRNA". It matches the Rfam family "Bacterial small subunit ribosomal RNA". The record is from RNAcentral.
AGAGUUUGAUCCUGGCUCAGGAUGAACGCUGGCGGUGUGCCUUAAGCAUGCAAGUAGAACGGCCCACGUCGCUCCGUAAGGAGCUAUGCGGGCAGUUGCAGACGGGUGAGUACAGCAUAGGAAUCUACCCUUUGGCGGGGAAUAACUUGUCGAAAGACGGGCUAAUACCGCAUAAGAUCGCAAGAUGAAAGGCCUUAACGGGUCACCGAAGGAGGAGCCUAUGUCCUAUCAGUUAGUUGGCGGGGUAAUGGCCCACCAAGACGACGACGGGUAGCUGGACUGAGAGGUUGGUCAGCCACAAUAGUACUGAGAUACGGACUAUACGACUACGGUCGGCAGCAACUGGGAAUAUUGCGCAAUGGGCGAAAGCCUGACGCAGCGACACCGCGUGAAGGAUGAAGGUCUUAGGAUCGUAAACUUCUUUUGAUUCGUCACAUGACGAGUAGAAUAAGCACCUGCUAACCACGUGCCAGCAGCCGCGGUAAUACGUGGGGUGCAAGCGUUAUCCGGAUUUACUGGGCGUAAAGAGUUCGUAGGUUUUUGGGUACAUCCUGUUUCAAAUCCCGGGGCUUAACCCCGGAAAGGGAUAGGAUAUGGCCUGAAUUGAGUUUGCUAGGGGGUACUGGAACUUGUUGUGUAGCAGUGAAAUGCGUUGAUAUAACAAGGAACACCGAGAGCGAAGGCAGGUACCUGGGGCACAACUGACACUGAGGAACGAAAGCUAGGGGAGCGAAAGGGAUUAGAGACCCCUGUAGUCCUAGCCGUAAACUAUGUUCGCUUGAUUUUCCGAGUCUUGUACUUGGGGGGUCGGAGCUAACGCGUGAAGCGAACCGCCUGGGGAGUACGACCGCAAGGUUAAAACUCAAAGGAAUUGACGGGAAGGCGCACAACCAGGGGAGCAUGUGGUUCAAUUCGAUACAAAGCGAUAGACCUUACCCAGAUUUGACAUGACACCGUUUAUUUUCCUGGAAACAGGGAGAAAUCCGACGAAAGAAGGAUGGUGUCACAGCUGCUGCAUGGCUGUCGUCAGCUCGUGCCGUGGGGUGUCGGCUUAAGUGCCGAAACGAGCGCAACCCUUAUUCUGUGUUAAAUAUCCACAGGAGACUGCCUCGACGUUUGUCGGGGAGGAAGGAGGGGAUGACGUCAAGUCAGCAUGGCGCUUAUGUCUGGGGCCACACACAUCCUACAAUGGAUCGUAACAACGGGUUGCCAAGCCGUAAGGCGGAGCUAAUCCCAACAAAACGAUCCUCAGUUCAGAUUGGGGGCUGAAAUUCGCCCCCAUGAAGCCGGACUUGGUAGUAAUCGCAGAUCAGCAGACUGCGGUGAAUACGUUCUCGCCUUUUGUACACACCGCCCAUCAAGCCAGCAAAGUCGGCAAUACCUGAAAUUCUGGGUUUCCCGGGACAAGGGUAGGGUCGGCGAUGAGGGCUAAGUUGUAACAAGGUA